Molecule: ribosomal RNA, 519 nt
Filed under: Ptyas korros
Lineage: Eukaryota; Metazoa; Chordata; Lepidosauria; Squamata; Colubridae
Description: partial 16S ribosomal RNA
Rfam family: Bacterial large subunit ribosomal RNA
Source: RNAcentral
ACAUAACCUUUAGCCCAACAAAUAUUAAAGGCAACGCCUGCCCAGUGAACAAUUAAACGGCCGCGGUACCCUAACCGUGCAAAGGUAGCGUAAUCAUUUGUCUACUAAUUAUAGACCUGUAUGAAAGGCAAAAUGAGGGCCUAGCUGUCUCUUAUAAUAAAUCAAUUAAACUGAUCCACUAGUAAAAAAGCUAGAAUACUAACAUAAGACCAGAAGACCCUGUGAAGCUUAAACUAAAACAUUAAACCCCAUAAUGACUACUUUCGGUUGGGGCGACCUUGGAAAUAAACAAAACUUCCAAAACUGAGUGAUAUACACCACACCCUUUUAGGCCCACAAGCCAAACAUAGACCCAGCAACGCUGAUAACUGAACAAAGUUACUCCAGGGAUAACAGCGCAAUCUUCUUCAAGAGCCCAUAUCAAAAAGAAGGUUUACGACCUCGAUGUUGGAUCAGGACAUCCUAAUGGUGCAGCCGCUAUUAAGGGUUCGUUUGUUCAACGACUAACGUCCUACGUGA